This 246-nucleotide long non-coding RNA is filed under the name Homo sapiens (human). RNAcentral describes it as "HSALNT0107029". Lineage: Eukaryota; Metazoa; Chordata; Mammalia; Primates; Hominidae. The record is from RNAcentral.
ACUGGAUUCUUAUUAUUCUAACAGAAGUGAUGUGGACUUGGGAGGAAGCAAGGAAACAAUGAAAGAUUUUUAACUUAAUCAUCAUGUAAACUUAAAACAUAAUUUAGCUCAGCACCACUUGGGAAAAAACAUUAUUUUUAGAGGCUUAAUACAUGUGAUGGAGGAGGAAGCUGAGGAAGAGAAAGAACAGGAGCACAAGAGGAUAAGGAAUGGAAGGAGGCUUUUCUGAAGACCAUUCAGGUGGGA